This 1261-nucleotide ribosomal RNA is filed under the name Tetraphleps aterrimus. Its description in RNAcentral is "16S ribosomal RNA". The stretch from base 1018 to 1176 matches the Rfam family "Archaeal large subunit ribosomal RNA", at positions 2544 to 2703 of the family's 2987-position model. Lineage: Eukaryota; Metazoa; Arthropoda; Insecta; Hemiptera; Anthocoridae. The record is from RNAcentral.
UUUAUUUAUUAUAUUAUUAUUUUUAUUAAUUAUUUUUUAUUUUUAUAAAAAUAAUUUGUUUUUUAGUAUAUUUUAUUGAAAUAUCUUUUUUAAUAAUAGUUUAUAAGUAUCGUGAGAGAAUUAUUUUAAUUUUUUAUAAGAAUUUUUUUAUGGAGUACCUUUUGCAUCAGGGUUUAUUAAUUAUUAUUUAAUUAUUAUUAUUUUUCUCGAAAUUAUAAGAUCUAUUUUAGUAUGAUUGUUAAUGUUUUAAAUUUAUAUUUAAUAUUAUUAUAGUGGUUAUAUGCUAUUCAUUUAUUAAUAUAUCUAGUUUUUUAAUAAUUUUAUUUAAUAAAGAAUUACAUUUAUUAAUACUAAUAUUUUAUUUAUAUUAUUUUGUAUUUUUAAUCAAUUAAGGAUAAGCUUUUUUGAUUUUUUAUAAUUUUUUUAUAUUUAAGUUUUGUAGGAUUAGUAACUUCCACCAUUAAUUUCGUUAUAGUUUAUCUUAAAAUUAAUUUUUAUUUAUUAUAUAUAUUUAAGUUUUUAUUAAAUUUUUUUAUUUAAUUUUUUAUAUUUGUAAUAAUGAUAAAAUUAGUAUUUUUUGAAAUAAGGUAUAGUAAUUCGGCAAUUUUAAUUUUCACCUGUUUAUCAAAAACAUGUCUUUUUGUUUUUAUUUAAAGUCUAGUCUGCUCUAUGAUUAUUUAAAUGGCCGCAGUAUUUUGACUGUGCAAAGGUAGCAUGAUCAUUUGCUUCUUAAUUAGGAGCUUGUAUGAAUGGCUGGAUGAGAAAUUGACUUUCUUUAUUUUAUUUUAUAUAAUUUUAUUUUUUAGUUAAAAAGCUGGAAUUUUUUUAUAAGACGAGAAGACCCUAUAGAACUUUAUAUUUUAUUAUAUUAUUUAUUAUUAGAUAAUAAUUUUAUUAUAUUAUUAUUUAUUUUGUUGGGGUGACAGGUAAAUUUAUUUAACUUUACUUAUUUCAUAUUUCAUUAAUUUAUGAUUUAUUGAUCCAUUUAUUAUGAUUAAAAGUUUAAGUUACCUUAGGGAUAACAGCGUUAUUUUAUUGGAGAGUUCUUAUUUAUAAUAAAGUUUGCGACCUCGAUGUUGGAUUAAAAUUAGUUUUCGGUGUAGAAGCUGUUAUUCUAGGUCUGUUCGACCUUUAAAUUUUUACAUGAUCUGAGUUCAAACCGGCGUGAGCCAGGUUGGUUUCUAUCUUUAAAUUUUUUAAAAUUUCUUAGUACGAAAGGACCAGUUAAAUUUUAAAUAUUUUAUUUAUUUUGAUUAAUAUU